CUGCACCAGAUACGAGCCUGACAGUCUACAUCCCUGGUGUGCUGCACACCGGGGUUUGUCUGUGGCUGCGUGGCUUCAAACGGUGCAAGAGGAACUUAAGCCAUGAGAUUUAAGCCCAUCAGUGGAGAGCGACACUGAAGAGUUAUAACUCAGAGGCACAGAU
Molecule: non-coding RNA, 163 nt
Organism: Nematolebias whitei (Rio pearlfish)
Lineage: Eukaryota; Metazoa; Chordata; Actinopteri; Cyprinodontiformes; Rivulidae
Product: small Cajal body-specific RNA 1
Exons: 1
Source: RefSeq, a predicted model, not a curated record